Molecule: long non-coding RNA, 652 nt
Organism: Olea europaea var. sylvestris
Lineage: Eukaryota; Viridiplantae; Streptophyta; Magnoliopsida; Lamiales; Oleaceae
Exons: 4
Source: RefSeq, a predicted model, not a curated record
UUUGGGUUUAUCUUAUAAAUUAUAAAUAUAUUUUGAAGGUUAAAUUGGAUACAUUUUUAAGUUGGAAACUUACUUAUAUAAUUUUGGAAGUGUUAGGAUUAAAUGUGAUAUUAAAAAGAGAGUUGAAGGACUUAGUUUGCAAUUAUGGGUUAGUGGACCAUUUAAUUCAACCAUUUGACCCAUUCUCUCUCAAUUUCACACCAAAACACACACAUAGAGUAACAAGAGAAGCAGAGACCGGCAGUGAAGAAGAAGAAAGGAAAAGAAGAAAGGAAAAAGAAGAAGAAAAGAGGUGAUAUUUGUACGAAUUGGAGCUCUAGUUUGGGGAUUUCUUCAUUUCCAAUUCAGCUAGGUGGUGGCGAGGAAAUUGGAAACGUUUAUCAGCCAAUCUAGCUUGUAGCUCCUACCUUGAGACCGUCGAUUUUGAGACACUGGGAAAAGCCUGCUGAAGCGAAAGAGACCGUUUCAUAGUAUGUAAUGUAUAGUUGGGGAACUCAUGUUUAUUAAGUACUUGUCUAAUAUUUGGUGUGUCAUGCACUUCGUAGAAAGGUUGGUAAUUGAUGUAAUGCUUGCAUGUUGACAUGAUGAUGUUGUAGAAGCACUCAGUCGAAUGUUGUUAUAUUUUGUUGUAGUUGUGGUGGUAUUAAAGGAA